GACGAACGCUGGCGGCGUGCUUAACACAUGCAAGUCGAACGGAAAGGCCCUGCUUUUGUGGGGUGCUCGAGUGGCGAACGGGUGUGUAACACGUGAGUAACCUGCCCUUGACUUUGGGAUAACUUCAGGAAACUGGUGCUAAUACCGGAUAGGAGCUCCUGCUGCAUGGUGGGGGUUGGAAAGUUUCGGCGGUUGGGGAUGGACUCGCGGCUUAUCAGCUUGUUGGUGGGGUAGUGGCUUACCAAGGCUUUGACGGGUAGCCGGCAUGAGAGGGUGACCGGGCACAUUGGGACUGAGAGACGGACCAGACUCGUACGGGAGGCAGCAGUGGGGAAUAUUGCACAGUGGGCGGAAGCGUGAUGCAGCAACGCCGCGUGCGGGAUGACGGCCUUGGGGUUGUGAACCGCUGUAGCCUGUGACGAAGCGUGAGUGACGGUAAUGGGUAAAGAAGCACCGGCUAACUACGUG
Molecule: ribosomal RNA, 468 nt
Filed under: uncultured bacterium
Lineage: Bacteria
Description: partial 16S ribosomal RNA
Rfam family: Bacterial small subunit ribosomal RNA
Source: RNAcentral